This is a long non-coding RNA of Lutra lutra (Eurasian river otter), 707 nucleotides long. RefSeq lists it as uncharacterized. The transcript is spliced from 4 exons. The record is from RefSeq and is a predicted model, not a curated record. NCBI's taxonomy places the organism in Eukaryota, Metazoa, Chordata, Mammalia, Carnivora, Mustelidae.
UGUUGUGACUGGUAGCAUCACCUUGCGGGCAGCAUGCGGGUGAGCCGAGCCUUCGAGAGGUCCAGAGCGGAGCUAAACCAGAGCCAUCUUUCCCACAGCCUGAGAGCAGGGACAGCACUGCCAGCUGAGCAGCUCCGCACACAGGGCUUUUCUUGUCACUCAGAGCUAGUGGAGAGUGAGACCCAGUCAGGGGCCCCUCACAUUCGAGUCAGGGGGAGAAGGCAGGCUGCUGCCACGAGGAACAAAAGCACAGACAGAUCUGCUGGGGGCUGAGGCCUGGGAGCGAGCUGCGUCGGUGGCCGGCUGCGUCCAUGGCUCUUCAGGGCUGAGGUGCGGCCUUCGUCAGUUCCUGGGCUUUUCUCUUGAGGACGCUGUGCAGACGUUUACGAGCCCUCCCGGAUCUUAAGGUUACCAGGAUGAUACUGUGUAACAGUCAAGCAUUACUAUGAGAAAAUACAGUGCAGAAAUGGACAGCGUUAUGCUUUUAUCCAACCAAGUAUCACUGGGAAAAGAACCAUCCAUAAACUCUAAACUACCAGAGGAAAGAUUGAAAGCUACUAGCUACAAAUCAAUUUGAAUUUUAUUGGCCCUAACUUGCCUGCCUCUUUUGACUAUCUCAAGCGAGGAAUCACAAAUUCAUUCAGCAUUCUCAAAGCACAACCUCCUAACAGUAAGUUGACUAGCAUCCUGUCCUGAUCAACACUGGC